UAAAUACCCCUCUUUUCUCUCCCAAAUUGAUGGAAAAAAGAGAGCAGAAAGGGAUGGAGAGUUCUUAACCUUCAACCCCAUUUUUCUCUAUACAAACACCAAAAAGAGAUAUAAAUAAGGUGAUUAGGAAGAAGAGUGAGCAUUUGUAUAGAAGAAAUUGAGUGAACUUGGAGACUUACACUACUAGGAAGUUAAAACCACAAGAAUAUUGGAGAAAAGAAAACGAAUAGAAGUGCAAGGAACUCCAAAUCUUGAAUAUUAUGUUAGUUCAUCCAUCUUAACAAGGAAAGGGUGUUAGCAUCGUGCAGCAGUCAAGUACUAGCUCUCGACAGCAGGCCCCAAUUUAUUCGACUCAUGGAGGAAUCAAUUACAGGAAUGAAAGAUAGUCUAUUCGACUCAUGGAGGAAUCAAUUACAGGAGUGAAAGAUUGCAAUUGAUCAAUCAGUUGUUCAGCAAUAGCAACAGAGAUUAUGAUUUGUCGUGCCGAAGAUGUUAGAAAAUUCUGUUCCACAACAUGAUCAAGAAAAGACAAUAAAUUAUCAUAAAAACCAUUAACAUUUUGCAAACCUAUAGGUUUCUGGUGAAUGUUUAGUUGGGCCCAAGAGAAAAUACAAAAUAUCUCUUAUAAUGUGCCCAGACCACCUGUAAGGCAAUGAAGGCGUCAGCAUGAUCAAA
Molecule: long non-coding RNA, 675 nt
Organism: Populus trichocarpa (black cottonwood)
Lineage: Eukaryota; Viridiplantae; Streptophyta; Magnoliopsida; Malpighiales; Salicaceae
Exons: 3
Source: RefSeq, a predicted model, not a curated record